Long non-coding RNA from Helianthus annuus (common sunflower), 3436 nucleotides. RefSeq lists it as uncharacterized. The transcript is spliced from 8 exons. Lineage: Eukaryota; Viridiplantae; Streptophyta; Magnoliopsida; Asterales; Asteraceae. The record is from RefSeq and is a predicted model, not a curated record.
CCCGGGUAUAUAAGCAACUAAAUAACCCUAAAUUUCAUAAUCCAAGUCUCUUGCCACCACCAUCUUCCAUCUCUAAUCGCCACCAUCGCGUUUUUUGUCUGUCACCGCCACGUUUUACAAACCCUAGAUAUCAACACAGAUUCAGCAUUUGUUUGAAGGUUUAAAUCGAACAAUUGAUAUGAUGCUGAUAUAUAGAAGAAAUAUAUAUUUCUUGUCCUAUGUUGAGUUAUCAAUUGUUGCAGGUUUGUUUAGGAUCAUUAAAAACAAACUUUAAUCCAUCAAUUCUUGAUCAAUCUGAUGUGUAAGUCAAGCAAACUGAUAAAAGGGAAUGUGUAACGGCGACCCACCAGAUCCGGGGAUAGAGGGACGCAUAUGGUAUCAGACGAGACGAGACGGUGAUGAUUCUGACCAAGAAUCAUAUGGUGGUACAAGGUGAUGGCGUUUUAGGUGAUGAAAGUUCAGAUGUCUUUGCAACAAACUCAAAUGGACAGGUUCUAUUUACUAAUUAGUUUACUGUGGAUGCGGUCAUCAAUUCGAAAUCUAGCCAGGAGGAUGUGUUUCAGUUGGUUGGUAUUUCCAUGGUUAAGUGUGCAAUGGUAGCUUACAACACUUCUAUGGUGGCUUAUGCACAAGUACUUUUUUCACUAUUUGGUGACAAGAUGGCUGACUCAAUGGAUAUGGGUGGACAUUUAUACACAUACAAUGAAGGUAGAACUUCAUACCUAUAUUUUUGUGUAGUAAUUCAAAAUGGUCGGACAUUUAUAUGUUGGUAUUUCAAUGGAUAUGGGUGGACAUUUAUACACAUACAAUGAAGAUUUGAGUUAAUCACGGAUGCUUGAUUGUGUGUGCUGGCAAUCGGAUGCAACUGUAGCCAACUUCAGUCAUUGAACCUAGGAUGGUUAGUCGGUUUUGCGUUAUUCGGGUUCGGGUCGGGUUGUUCGGUUUUCGGGUUUCGAUGUAAAAUGAAAAAUUUAAGUUUUUUUUACAAGAUAUCAUAAAAUUCAUAUUGCUACUUUAAAAAUAUCAUCAAAGUUCAAACUCUAUUUGACAAUACGCUAUUAUAAUAUUUAAAAGUCCCAAAACUUAAUGUUUCAUAUAUAAAAGACUCCAAACCAAAACACUUCUAUAAGAAAAAAACAAUAAAUGUUCAGGUUUUUUGUCGGGUUUCGGGUUUUCGGGUCGGGUUGUUCGGGGUUUUGGUAGGGAAAAAGUGACCCGAUAACCGAACCAUUUAAAGUUCGGGUUGGUCGGGUUCGGGUUUUUCGGAUAUUCCCUAAUUCGGGUUCGGGUGGCUUUGAAUUCGGGUCGGGUUUCGGGUUUUGGAUAAAAAUGAACAGUCCUACUCUCAAGGGUAUCAUAAGGCUUCAAGCUUUAGUUCUUGGCCACUUGGUUAUGAGACAGGCUGUUGUUACUUUGAGAUGCAUGCGUGCAAUUAUUGAGUUCCAACCGUUGACUCGUGGCCGUAUGGUCAGACUUACUAAUGGUCAACUGCUUAAAAACAGACUUCAACAGUAUUUGCGGUAAUUCCCUCUUCUUUAUUAUCUUUAAUUAGUUCGAGUGCUAGCUUAAUGCCCGAUAAGCUGAAGAUUCAAGAAUUAAUGCGGAAUCAAAUGCAUCAAAUGGUGAGGAUAAAAUCAAGCUAGAGCAAGCUACCACAAAAGCACAGCUGCACAGGCUGCUUUCAGGGGCUAUUUGGUAAUAUUAUUGAGCUUGAUUUAUUUUUUUUUUCAAUGGAAUAUGCUGAAUGUUUAGGGUUUGUUUAAGUUGUUAACUUUAUGUUAUUAUUAAAAUUGGUUAGCAAUUCAUAAUACACUGAGCGAUAAUAUAACGUAGCUCUUAAGUUGCAUUGUAGGGGAUAACAUUCUCUCUAACAUCAACCUUAUCUGUUAAAUCAUAAGCAAUUUCCUGAAGUUUUUAGAUCUUAAGUUUGUGGUUCGGGGGUCUAACUAAUAAAUGGGUAUCAAGUUUCAAUAAAGUUUCUGCUUUGCAUAGUGAACACAUCCUACAGUUUUUUGCAUGUUUGACUUUUGUUAACCAUAAGACCCCGCUACCAGAAAACUCACGGGACCUGCAAAUACCCUGCUAAAAAACAGGAUCAUGAAUCUUUUAACUCGUGUUUUGCAUGUUGCUGGACAUGUUUGGCAUCUACACGUGUCUCAUCUUUGUAUAUCUCCAUUCCACAUUUACUUUCAUUCUUUUCAUGGUUAUGCAAUAUUAUGCCUUAAAUCGUGUUUUUACAUUAUUGAGUCUGUUUAUCUUUUAUACGCUAAGUAAUUAACCAUACAUGUUCUAUAAAGAACAUUUCGGGCUCUCAAGUAGGGGUGUUCAUCGGGUUUUUUUCUUCGGGUUUCGGGUUUUUCGGGUGGGGUUGUUCGGGUUUUUGUCUAGGAAAAAUUGAACCAAUAACCGACCCAUUUAAAGUUCGGGUUAGUCGGUUUUGGGUUAUUCGGGUUCGGGUUAGUUCGGGUCAGGUUGUUCGGUUUUCGGGUUUCGAUGUAAAAUGAAAAAUUUAAGUUUUUUUUACAAGAUAUCAUAAAAUUCAUAUUGCUACUUUAAAAAUAUUAUCAAAGUUCAGACUUUAUUUGACAAUAUGCUAUUAUAAUAUUUAAAAGUCCCAAAACUUAAUGUUUCAUAUAUUAAAGACUCCAAACCAAAACACUUCUAUAAGAAAAAAACUAUAAAUGUUCAGGUUUUUUGUCGGGUUUCGUGUUUCGGGUUUUUCGGGUCGGGUUGUUCGGGUUUUUGGUAGGGAAAAAGUGACCCGGUAACCGAACCAUUUAAAUUUCGGGUUGGUCGGGUUCGGGUUUCUCGGGUUCGGGUUUCUCGGGUUCGGGCUUUUCGAAUAUUCCCUAAUUCGGGUUCGGUGGCUUUGAAUUCGGGUCGGUUUUUGGAUAAAAAUGAACAGUCCUACUCUCAAGGGCAUCAUAAGGCUUCAAGCUUUAGUUCGUGGCCACUUAGUUAGGAGACAGGCUGUUGUUACUUUGAGAUGCAUGCGUGCAAUUAUUGAGUUCCAAGCGUUGACUCGUGGCCGUAUGGUCAGACUUACUAAUGGUCAACUGCUUAAAAACAGACUUCAACAGCAUUUGUGGUCAAAAUUGUUUUGUUUGUUCUGGGUCACACUUCUGAAAUAUGGAACUACAUUGGGCAUGAGGAUUUCGUUGGCUUGUCAAAAAAAAGGAAGAUAACUUUGCUUCAAGAAGUGGGCCAAGUUCUGGAUGCAAAGAUUGACUAGAAGGCAUUGGUCAAACAAAAGCAAGGGAAUACUAUAUGUUGUGGCACCAUUUGGACAACGACGGCAAACGUACUAAUAAAACCACAAAUGUAGUUUAUAAAGAAGUAUUUAGGAAUUUGUGAUUUUCAUGUACUCACUUAUCAAUAAUUUUUUAUUUCAGUAUCAUUUUUACACGUUUAAAUUGAAAAGUGAUUUCAUAACAAA